GAAAUGCGAUACUUGGUGUGAAUUGCAGAAUUCAGUGAAUCAUCGAAUCUUUGAACGCACAUUGCGCCCCUUGGUAUUCCGGGGGGCAUGCCUGUUCGAGCGUCAUUAUAACCCUCAAGCCUAGCUUGGUGUUGGAGCAUGCUACCUAGCAGCUCUUAAAAUCAGUGGCAGUGCCCUUCGGCUCUAAGCGUAGUAACUUCUCUCGCUAUGGAAACCGGGUGGUAUGCGCCAAAACCCCCAACUUUCUAAGGUUGACCUCGGAUCAGGUAGGGAUACCCGCUGAGUUUAA
This 289-nucleotide unclassified non-coding RNA is filed under the name uncultured Cistella. RNAcentral's name for it is "sequence contains ITS1". The stretch from base 1 to 105 matches the Rfam family "5.8S ribosomal RNA", at positions 50 to 154 of the family's 154-position model. The record is from RNAcentral. Lineage: Eukaryota; Fungi; Ascomycota; Leotiomycetes; Helotiales; Hyaloscyphaceae.